Molecule: small nuclear RNA, 104 nt
Organism: Bubalus bubalis (water buffalo)
Lineage: Eukaryota; Metazoa; Chordata; Mammalia; Artiodactyla; Bovidae
Source: RefSeq, a predicted model, not a curated record
GUGCUUGCUUCAGCAGCACAUAUAAUAAAAUUGGAAUGAUACAGAGAUUAGCAUGGCCCCUGCACAAGUAUGACAUGGGAAUUCGUGAACCGUUCCAUAUUUAA